CCUAUAUAAAUCCCUCUCCAUUUCCAUUUUAAUCCACACCAAUUCACUAUUCUCUUUCUCUCAAAUCUCAAUCUCUCAAUUAUAGUUACUUUGCAACAAUUAGCCACUUUAAAUUUCUCUUAAAUAAAUAUUAUAAAGUCUUAUUAUAGUUUCAAUUAUUAAUUUUGUAAUUAUAAUAUUGUUGGUGGAGUUGGUGAUUUUGCAACAAUCUGAAGUAGCUUUGGUGGAUUUGCAAUUCUAGCCGCCUUCACUUUGUUGAAAAUUAAUCCGGCAAUUUGGUACCUUCGUUCCAACUCUAUCUUUAUUUUUCGCAAUUUAAUUUACGCAAUUUAAUUCUAGCAAUUUAAUUUGUUGCAAUUUAUUUUCUUGUGAUUUAUUUGAGUGUGAUUUAAAUUAAUUCUAUUUAAUAAUGGCGAAGAGAUUUAGAUGUGGUGCCGGUAGUAGUGGUAUUUCUUAGCAUGGUGGAAGAAAUACAAGGCAAGUCAUCCGAUACUCUCAAGAAUGGCUCGAGAUAUCCUUACGAUUCAAGUACCAACCGUGGCUUUGGAGAGUGCAUUUAGCCGAGGAAGACAACAAAUUGGAGACCAUAGACACUCAUUAUCCGGCUUUAGCUUGCAAGUACUAGUGUGCAUUCGCGAUUGGAUUAGAUCUAAGCGACGCAACCAAAACUUAGAAGCGGAGGAAGGCGAAGAGAAAGAGAUUGAAGAUUUGAUAGCAAGUGGACCGAACCAAAUGGAAGACUUUGAAGAUAUCUCCAUGGCCGAAUAUGAUAUGGGGGAAAUUAACCAAAUGAUUGAGAAUUGGUGAUUUUAUUAUUCUACUAUUUCUUUGCAACUCAUUUAUUAUUUGCAAGUUAAAAAAAACUACAACUUGCAAAUAAAUGUUAUCCAAGAAUGAAUAAAAUAUAUGGCUCAUUGAGCUUUCUUCUA
Long non-coding RNA from Lycium ferocissimum, 929 nucleotides. RefSeq lists it as uncharacterized. The transcript has 2 exons. Lineage: Eukaryota; Viridiplantae; Streptophyta; Magnoliopsida; Solanales; Solanaceae. The record is from RefSeq and is a predicted model, not a curated record.